RNAcentral lists this transfer RNA (73 nucleotides) under Bacteriophage sp. Its description in RNAcentral is "tRNA-Met". It matches the Rfam family "tRNA". From Rfam's summary of the family: Transfer RNA (tRNA) molecules are approximately 80 nucleotides in length. Their secondary structure includes four short double-helical elements and three loops (D, anti-codon, and T loops). Further hydrogen bonds mediate the characteristic L-shaped molecular structure. tRNAs have two regions of fundamental functional importance: the anti-codon, which is responsible for specific mRNA codon recognition, and the 3' end, to which the tRNAs corresponding amino acid is attached (by aminoacyl-tRNA synthetases). tRNAs cope with the degeneracy of the genetic code in two manners: having more than one tRNA (with a specific anti-codon) for a particular amino acid; and 'wobble' base-pairing, i.e. permitting non-standard base-pairing at the 3rd anti-codon position. The record is from RNAcentral.
GGGAGGGUAGCUCAGCGGUAAGAGCAGAGGUCUCAUAAACCUUUGGUCACGGGUUCGAAUCCCGUUCCUCCCA